GUGUAUGCCUGGGAAACAUAUAUACUAAAAUUGGAAUGAUACAGAGAAGAUUAGCAUGGCCCCUGUGCAAGGAUGACGUGCAAAUUCAUGAAGCAUUCCAUAUUUUU
Molecule: small nuclear RNA, 107 nt
Organism: Pteronotus mesoamericanus
Lineage: Eukaryota; Metazoa; Chordata; Mammalia; Chiroptera; Mormoopidae
Source: RefSeq, a predicted model, not a curated record